AGCGUAGACGGCAAGGCAAGUCUGAUGUGAAAACCCAGGGCUUAACCCUGGGACUGCAUUGGAAACUGUCUGGCUCGAGUGCCGGAGAGGUAAGCGGAAUUCCUAGUGUAGCGGUGAAAUGCGUAGAUAUUCGGAGGAACACCAGUGGCGAAGGCGGCUCACUGGUCCAUUACUGACGCUGAGGUGCGAAAGCGUGGGAGCAAACA
This 206-nucleotide ribosomal RNA is filed under the name uncultured bacterium. RNAcentral's name for it is "partial 16S ribosomal RNA". It matches the Rfam family "Bacterial small subunit ribosomal RNA", at positions 568 to 774 of the family's 1533-position model. The record is from RNAcentral.